UUGACAUCCAGAGAACUUAGCAGAGAUGCUUGUGCCUUCGGGAACUCUGAGACAGGUGCUGCAUGGCUGUCGUCGGCUCGUGUUGUGAAAUGUUGGGUUAAGUCCCGCAACGAGCGCAACCCUUAUCCUUUGUUGCCAGCGAUUCGGUCGGGAACUCAAAGGAGACUGCCGGUGAUAAACCGGAGGAAGGUGGGGAUGACGUCAAGUCAUCAUGGCCCUUACGAGUAGGGCUACACACGUGCUACAAUGGCGCAUACAAAGAGAAGCGACCUCGCGAGAGCAAGCGGACCUCACAAAGUGCGUCGUAGUCCGGAUCGGAGUCUGCAACUCGACUCCGUGAAGUCGGAAUCGCUAGUAAUCGUGGAUCAGAAUGCCACGGUGAAUACGUUCCCGGGCCUUGUACACACCGCCCGUCACACCAUGGGAGUGGGUUGCAAAAGAAGUAGGUAGCUUAACCUUCGGGAGGGCGCUUACCACUUUGUGAUUCAUGACUGGGGUGAAGUCGUAACAAGGUAGGCGUAGUGCU
RNAcentral lists this ribosomal RNA (526 nucleotides) under uncultured bacterium. Its description in RNAcentral is "bacterial SSU rRNA". It matches the Rfam family "Bacterial small subunit ribosomal RNA", at positions 981 to 1509 of the family's 1533-position model. The record is from RNAcentral.